Scylla paramamosain (green mud crab) is the source of this 898-nucleotide long non-coding RNA. RefSeq lists it as uncharacterized. NCBI's taxonomy places the organism in Eukaryota, Metazoa, Arthropoda, Malacostraca, Decapoda, Portunidae. The record is from RefSeq and is a predicted model, not a curated record. The transcript has 3 exons.
AAGGAGGCAGAUGAACUCAGUCUCGGUUAGUAUGUGCGUCUUAGUGGAGGGCAGGAUGGUGUUCCGAAGUGUAAUCCGUUAUUCUUUCGCCUCACUAAGACUUUCGAGGCUGUAACUAAACAUUGGAUGUGGGAAUGAACUCAAGAACCACAUGACUGUCCUACAAGAUGCAGGUGUUUCGAUAAGGUGCGCAGGACAGUGUAUUAGUGAGAGGCGCUGGGAUGAGAGGAGAGCGACUAUGGCUGGCUUGUGUGGGGUUUCCCGGCCACUAACUCGAAUCGGCUCGAAGCAGUGAGUGCCGGCGUGAAUGUGGCACCUGCUGAGGGGAGACCAGGAGACGCCGCGAGCUGCAUCUGGGAACAAGACAUAAGUGUGGCGCCGCCGAGGGAGGCCGCCUUAUUGGGGAGGCCUGUGGGGAGUAAAUCGCUGGAAUCCAGGAGUACCCUGCUGGAGUGUUGCCAGAAGCCUGCCCCCUCCUUCACAUGAUCCCUCCAGCACCGGGAGAACCUUGCCCAGCGCCGCCCAUCCCUCCCUUCCUCCGUCUACCUCGCUGGCCUUGACUCACAUCUGCACCACCAUAAGAAAAAGUUUGCAGGGAAUGAGGGAGAGCAAGCCGAGCGGGAAGCAGGGAUGAGGUAAUGACUGGUGUUAGGCAAGCUGGGCGGGUGCCACGAGGGACGGAGGGAAUGAGGAGGUCAAGGAGGAAGGUCAAACAGAACGAGACAGUCAGCCACGCUUCUCGACGCAGUAUUCGGAAGAGAAGCCUCACGUGUGCGUAUAAUGACAUUCCGCGGCGCAGUUUUUGGGAAGUGACUGAAUUAAACUAAUAACAUUGUACUUGAUGGUCAGACAGAAUGGUGAAUAUAUAGAUCAAGCUAUGAAUGAAAUACCUCACACA